This 253-nucleotide ribosomal RNA is filed under the name uncultured bacterium. Its description in RNAcentral is "partial 16S ribosomal RNA". It matches the Rfam family "Bacterial small subunit ribosomal RNA", at positions 524 to 776 of the family's 1533-position model. The record is from RNAcentral.
UACGAAGGGGGCUAGCGUUGCUCGGAAUCACUGGGCGUAAAGGGCGCGUAGGCGGCCAUUCAAGUCAGAGGUGAAAGCCCAAGGCUCAACCUUGGAACUGCCUUUGAUACUGUUUGGCUUGAGACCGGUAGAGGUAAGUGGAACUGCGAGUGUAGAGGUGAAAUUCGUAGAUAUUCGCAAGAACACCAGUGGCGAAGGCGGCCGACUGGUCCGGUUCUGACGCUGAGGCGCGAAAGCGUGGGGAGCAAACAGG